This 497-nucleotide ribosomal RNA is filed under the name uncultured bacterium. Its description in RNAcentral is "partial 16S ribosomal RNA". It matches the Rfam family "Bacterial small subunit ribosomal RNA", at positions 28 to 507 of the family's 1533-position model. The record is from RNAcentral.
GAUGAACGCUGGCGGCGUGCCUAAUACAUGCAAGUCGAGCGAACAGACGAGGAGCUUGCUCCUCUGACGUUAGCGGCGGACGGGUGAGUAACACGUGGAUAACCUACCUAUAAGACUGGGAUAACUUCGGGAAACCGGAGCUAAUACCGGAUAAUAUAUUGAACCGCAUGGUUCAAUAGUGAAAGACGGUUUUGCUGUCACUUAUAGAUGGAUCCGCGCGGCAUUAGCUAGUUGGUAAGGUAACGGCUUACCAAGGCAACGAUGCGUAGCCGACCUGAGAGGGUGAUCGGCCACACUGGAACUGAGACACGGUCCAGACACCUACGGGAGGCAGCAGUAGGGAAUCUUCCGCAAUGGGCGAAAGCCUGACGGAGCAACGCCGCGUGAGUGAUGAAGGUCUUCGGAUCGUAAAACUCUGUUAUUAGGGAAGAACAAAUGUGUAAGUAACUAUGCACGUCUUGACGGUACCUAAUCAGAAAGCCACGGCUAACUACGUG